This 749-nucleotide ribosomal RNA is filed under the name uncultured Methanocalculus sp. RNAcentral describes it as "bacterial SSU rRNA". It matches the Rfam family "Archaeal small subunit ribosomal RNA", at positions 102 to 856 of the family's 1478-position model. Lineage: Archaea; Methanobacteriati; Methanobacteriota; Methanomicrobia; Methanomicrobiales; Methanocalculaceae. The record is from RNAcentral.
GGAUAAUCUGCCCUCAGGUGAGGAAUAAUCCCGGGAAACCGGGGCUAAUGCCUCAUAGGAGACGGGUGCUGGAAUGCUCUGUCUCCGAAAGGUCCGCCGCCUGAGGAUGAGUCUGCGUCCGAUUAGGUUGUUGUUGGGGUAACGGCCCAACAAGCCUUUGAUCGGUACGGGUUGUGGGAGCAAGAGCCCGGAGAUGGAUUCUGAGACAUGAAUCCAGGCCCUACGGGGCGCAGCAGGCGCGAAAACUUUACAAUGCGAGCAAUUGUGAUAAGGAAACCCUGAGUGCCUGUCAAUGCAGGCUGUUCUGGUGUCUAACACACACCAGGAGAAAGGGCGGGGCAAGACCGGUGCCAGCCGCCGCGGUAAUACCGGCUGCUCGAGUGAUAGCCACUUUUACUGGGCUUAAAGCGUUCGUAGCUUGGUCGUUAAGUCUCUGGGGAAAUCUUUUGGCUCAACCAAAAGGCGUCUCAGGGAAACUGACGAUCUUGGAACCGGGAGAGGUAAGACGUACUUCGGGGGUAGGAGUGAAAUCUUGUAAUCCCCGAGGGACGACCGAUGGCGAAGGCAUCUUACCAGAACGGCUUCGACAGUGAGGGACGAAAGCUGGGGGAGCAAACCGGAUUAGAUACCCGGGUAGUCCCAGCCGUAAACGAUGUGCGUUAGGUGUGUCAGUGACCACGAGUCGCUGAGGUGCCGAAGGGAAACCGUGAAACGCACCGCCUGGGAAGUACGGUCGCAAGGCUGAAACU